Molecule: ribosomal RNA, 120 nt
Filed under: Neurospora tetrasperma FGSC 2509
Lineage: Eukaryota; Fungi; Ascomycota; Sordariomycetes; Sordariales; Sordariaceae
Source: RNAcentral
NCAUACGACCAUACCCACUGGAAAACUCGGGAUCCCGUCCGCUCUCCCAUAGAUAAGCCAGUAAGGGCCUGACUAGUAGUUGGGUCGGUGACGACCAGCGAAUCCCAGGUGUUGUAUGUU